GAACGCACCUUGCGCCUUUUGGCUAUUCCAAAGGGCAUGCCUGUUUGAGUAUCAUGAACAUCUCAACCCUCAUGGUUUGCCAUGUGGGCUUGGAUUUUGGAGGUUUUGCUGGCUUGUGGCCAGCUCCUCUCAAACAAAUUAGCUUACCGGUGUAUGGUGGCUUCACGGGUGUGAUAAAUAUCUGCGCCUGUGGUCGUCUGCCAGGAGCUUCAACCUUGGAGGUUUUGCUGGGGCUUAUAAAUGUCUCUCCUCAGUGAAGACAGCUUUCUGAACGUUUGAUCUCAAAUCAGGUAGGACUACCCGCUGAACUUAA
Molecule: ribosomal RNA, 313 nt
Filed under: uncultured Tomentella
Lineage: Eukaryota; Fungi; Basidiomycota; Agaricomycetes; Thelephorales; Thelephoraceae
Description: eukaryotic LSU rRNA
Source: RNAcentral